GUGUUUGUUUGGAAGCCCCUCUAUUAAAAUCAGAACAAUAUAGAGAGGAGUUCCAUGGGCCCUGCAAAAAAAAAGAAUGACAUGCAAACUCAUGAAAAACUCCAUAUUUUU
Antechinus flavipes (yellow-footed antechinus) is the source of this 111-nucleotide small nuclear RNA. NCBI's taxonomy places the organism in Eukaryota, Metazoa, Chordata, Mammalia, Dasyuromorphia, Dasyuridae. The record is from RefSeq and is a predicted model, not a curated record.